GUAGUCUCGCACAGAUGCAUAUCAAUAAGCGGAGGAAAAGAAACUAACAAGGAUUCCCUUAGUAACGGCGAGUGAAGCGGGAAGAGCUCAAAUUUGAAAUCUUCAAGGUUUUACCUUGACGAAUUGUAGUUCAAAGAAGUGUUUUCUGUUGAAGUUUUGGUAAAAGUUCUUUGGAAUAGGACAUCAUAGAGGGUGAGAAUCCCGUAUUUGACCAUUAUUUUCAGCUGUGUGAUACACCUUCAAAGAGUCGGAUUGUUUGGGAAUGCAGUCCAAAAUGGGUGGUAAAUUUCAUCUAAAGCUAAAUAUUGGCGAGAGACCGAUAGCGAACAAGUACCGUGAGGGAAAGAUGAAAAGAACUUUGAAAAGAGAGUUAAACAGUACGUGAAAUUGUCAAAAGGGAAGCGUUUGACACCAGUGUUGUUUUUCUGAAAAUCAAUUAAAGAACUGUUUAUGCUAAGUUGUUUAGACUUUAUCAGCUAUCUGUUUAGUUUUGAGCUUUUCUUUAAUGCACUUUUCAGUUAACAAGUCAACAUCAAUUUCUUUUGCUGUAAAAAAGCUUGAGGAAGGUGGCUUGAGAUUCGUCUUAAGUGUUUAUAGCCUCUUGCCUAUGCAGUCGGAGAGAUUGAGGUCUGCAGCGUAGAUCCUUCGGGGCUAAAUGCAUUUGUGCUAAGUUAUAGCAUUUUAUAGACAACUUGUUGACUAUGAUUUGUCUUGUAGCUUACUCGCUUAUGUUAUUUUACCUACGCUUAGGAUGUUGAGCGCAUGUCUCUCUCU
Molecule: ribosomal RNA, 774 nt
Filed under: uncultured Neocallimastigales
Lineage: Eukaryota; Fungi; Neocallimastigomycota; Neocallimastigomycetes; Neocallimastigales
Description: partial large subunit ribosomal RNA
Rfam family: Eukaryotic large subunit ribosomal RNA
Source: RNAcentral